Molecule: long non-coding RNA, 417 nt
Filed under: Brassica napus (rape)
Lineage: Eukaryota; Viridiplantae; Streptophyta; Magnoliopsida; Brassicales; Brassicaceae
Description: long non-coding RNA (BNAP_LNC014482)
Source: RNAcentral
CAAGAAGUCCAUCCUUACCAUUAGAACACAAUGUUCCGGACUAUUUAUACUUCUUUUCUUGAUUUGUUGUUAUCUCUUAUAAUAAUCGAGUGGCAAAAAUAUACAUUCCAAGACAUACAUAGAUAUUUUAGAAUACUUUUGAGAAUUCGGAUACGAAAAAAAGAAAAUGAUAAUAAAGAUUUAAACGAAAACUGUAAACACUCGAGAUUAUGUUUUGGUUGAGAAUAAUAAUAAUUUAUUUGAUAUAAUAAUGUAACAUGUGACAAAGUAGGAGGAACAAACAAUAUUGAUGCAAAUUUGCUUAGAAGUUCUCUUUCUGUUAUGUUCUAUAUUGGUUAUCUAUCACUAAUUUGGAUUUCUAAAUUGGUAAUUAUUUCAGAAUAGUUUAAUUAUUGUUGAAAAAAACAAUGGCCCUCA